CUAAUACUCUCUCCGUCGAACAAAGAAUGUCUCAACUUUGACUAAAUUUGAAUGCAUCUAUACACUAAGUCAAAUCUAGAUACAUUCAAAUUUUAAUAAAUUUAAGACAUCUUUUGGUGGACGACGAAGGGAGUACCAU
This is a non-coding RNA of Brachypodium distachyon (stiff brome), 139 nucleotides long. NCBI's taxonomy places the organism in Eukaryota, Viridiplantae, Streptophyta, Magnoliopsida, Poales, Poaceae. The record is from Rfam.